This 383-nucleotide long non-coding RNA is filed under the name Ananas comosus (pineapple). RNAcentral's name for it is "long non-coding RNA (ACOM_LNC032757)". Lineage: Eukaryota; Viridiplantae; Streptophyta; Magnoliopsida; Poales; Bromeliaceae. The record is from RNAcentral.
ACCACCAUCAUCAUCAAGACCAUCAAGUACCACCACCAUCUCCCCCUUUUUGUCAGAAAGCGCCAAAAUGACAAAAGAAGGAACUCGGUAACUCCUAAUCGGAAGCAUCCCCUGGAGGUAAAUCUGCUCGGCAACACCCUAACUUGUCAAAAAUCAUAUUCAAUAAACGCUUCAUCUUGCUCACAUCCUUCCAAAUCGCAGCUUGCUCCGCAGACAAUUUCUGAAGCUCCUCAGAUAGACGUUGUUGCUCACGAUACACAGAGGAAACUAAGAUAUCUUCCUCGGAAAUGUCCAUAGAAGGACGUGAAGAAGUAGCAGUCGCAGGAGGUGGAGCAGCAGGAGGGGAAGAAGCACGCUGAGACGGUGUACGAAGCUGCACCGAG